RNAcentral lists this transfer RNA (73 nucleotides) under Solirubrobacterales bacterium. RNAcentral describes it as "tRNA-Thr". It matches the Rfam family "tRNA". From Rfam's summary of the family: Transfer RNA (tRNA) molecules are approximately 80 nucleotides in length. Their secondary structure includes four short double-helical elements and three loops (D, anti-codon, and T loops). RNAcentral also lists the same sequence under 2 other names. Lineage: Bacteria; Bacillati; Actinomycetota; Thermoleophilia; Solirubrobacterales. The record is from RNAcentral.
GCCGGCGUAGCUCAGUUGGUAGAGCACUUCAUUCGUAAUGAAGGGGUCACCGGUUCAAGUCCGGUCGUCGGCU